RNAcentral lists this ribosomal RNA (136 nucleotides) under Phaenomerus peregrinator salomonicus. Its description in RNAcentral is "partial 16S ribosomal RNA". The record is from RNAcentral. Lineage: Eukaryota; Metazoa; Arthropoda; Insecta; Coleoptera; Curculionidae.
AAUUAAAUAAACUUUUUUUUUUAUUUACAUAGAUUUAUGAAUAAAUGAUCCUAUUAUUUAGAUUAAAAGAUUAAAUUACCUUAGGGAUAACAGCGUAAUUUUUUUUAAAGUUCUUAUUGAAAAAAAAGAUUGCGAC